This 406-nucleotide ribosomal RNA is filed under the name Klebsiella pneumoniae. RNAcentral's name for it is "partial 23S ribosomal RNA". It matches the Rfam family "Bacterial large subunit ribosomal RNA", at positions 2311 to 2716 of the family's 2925-position model. Lineage: Bacteria; Pseudomonadati; Pseudomonadota; Gammaproteobacteria; Enterobacterales; Enterobacteriaceae. The record is from RNAcentral.
CGAAGGUUAGCUAAUCCUGGUCGGACAUCAGGAGGUUAGUGCAAUGGCAUAAGCUAGCUUGACUGCGAGCGUGACGGCGCGAGCAGGUGCGAAAGCAGGUCAUAGUGAUCCGGUGGUUCUGAAUGGAAGGGCCAUCGCUCAACGGAUAAAAGGUACUCCGGGGAUAACAGGCUGAUACCGCCCAAGAGUUCAUAUCGACGGCGGUGUUUGGCACCUCGAUGUCGGCUCAUCACAUCCUGGGGCUGAAGUAGGUCCCAAGGGUAUGGCUGUUCGCCAUUUAAAGUGGUACGCGAGCUGGGUUUAGAACGUCGUGAGACAGUUCGGUCCCUAUCUGCCGUGGGCGCUGGAGAAUUGAGGGGGGCUGCUCCUAGUACGAGAGGACCGGAGUGGACGCAUCACUGGUGUU